GCACAAGCGGUGGAUGAUGUGGUUAAUUCGAUGCAACGCGAAAACCUUACCACCUUUGACAUGUACGGAAUCCUUUAGAGAUAGAGGAGUGCUCGAAAGAGAGCCGUAACACAGGUGCUGCAUGGCUGUCGUCAGCUCGUGUCGUGAGAUGUUGGGUUAAGUCCCGCAACGAGCGCAACCCUUGUCAUUAGUUGCUACAUUCAGUUGGGCACUCUAAUGAGACUGCCGGUGACAAACCGGAGGAAGGUGGGGAUGACGUCAAGUCCUCAUGGCCCUUAUAGGUGGGGCUACACACGUCAUACAAUGGAUGGUACAAAGGGUCGCCAACCCGCGAGGGGGAGCCAAUCCCAUAAAGCCAUUCGUAGUCCGGAUCGCAGUCUGCAACUCGACUGCGUGAAGUCGGAAUCGCUAGUAAUCGUGGAUCAGAAUGUCACGGUGAAUACGUUCCCGGGUCUU
RNAcentral lists this ribosomal RNA (456 nucleotides) under uncultured Acidovorax sp. RNAcentral's name for it is "bacterial SSU rRNA". It matches the Rfam family "Bacterial small subunit ribosomal RNA", at positions 923 to 1382 of the family's 1533-position model. The record is from RNAcentral. Lineage: Bacteria; Pseudomonadati; Pseudomonadota; Betaproteobacteria; Burkholderiales; Comamonadaceae.